GCCAGCAUAGCUCAGUUGGUAGAGCAGCCGCCUUGUAAGCGGCAGGUCGUCGGUUCGAGUCCGUCUGCUGGCUCCA
Molecule: transfer RNA, 76 nt
Filed under: Opitutia bacterium
Lineage: Bacteria; Pseudomonadati; Verrucomicrobiota; Opitutia
Also listed under: 2 other names
Description: Opitutae bacterium tRNA-Thr
Rfam family: tRNA
About the family: Transfer RNA (tRNA) molecules are approximately 80 nucleotides in length. Their secondary structure includes four short double-helical elements and three loops (D, anti-codon, and T loops). Further hydrogen bonds mediate the characteristic L-shaped molecular structure. tRNAs have two regions of fundamental functional importance: the anti-codon, which is responsible for specific mRNA codon recognition, and the 3' end, to which the tRNAs corresponding amino acid is attached (by aminoacyl-tRNA synthetases). tRNAs cope with the degeneracy of the genetic code in two manners: having more than one tRNA (with a specific anti-codon) for a particular amino acid; and 'wobble' base-pairing, i.e. permitting non-standard base-pairing at the 3rd anti-codon position.
Source: RNAcentral